This 210-nucleotide ribosomal RNA is filed under the name Staphylococcus aureus. RNAcentral's name for it is "partial 16S ribosomal RNA". It matches the Rfam family "Bacterial small subunit ribosomal RNA", at positions 1 to 204 of the family's 1533-position model. Lineage: Bacteria; Bacillati; Bacillota; Bacilli; Caryophanales; Staphylococcaceae. The record is from RNAcentral.
UUUUAUGGAGAGUUUGAUCCUGGCUCAGGAUGAACGCUGGCGGCGUGCCUAAUACAUGCAAGUCGAGCGAACGGACGAGAAGCUUGCUUCUCUGAUGUUAGCGGCGGACGGGUGAGUAACACGUGGAUAACCUACCUAUAAGACUGGGAUAACUUCGGGAAACCGGAGCUAAUACCGGAUAAUAUUUUGAACCGCAUGGUUCAAAAGUGA